CGCCUCUUGCAAAACCAAUGAAUAAGAGGUCCCGCCUGCCCAGUGACCAUGGGUUCAACGGCCGCGGUAUUUUGACCGUGCAAAGGUAGCGUAAUCACUUGUCUUUUAAAUGAAGACCGGUAUGAAUGGCAUAACGAGGGCUCAACUGUCUCCUCUCUCUAGUCAGUGAAAUUGAUCUUUCCGUGCAGAAGCGGGGAUAUCAACAUAAGACGAGAAGACCCUAUGGAGCUUUAGAUAAUGAGACAGAUCCCGUCAAACAUCCUUAUUAAAAAGACCAAACUAAUCGAACACUGUCUGAAUGUCUUUGGUUGGGGUGACCACGGCGAAAUAAAAAACCCCCGCGUGGAAAGAGGCGACUAACCCUCCAAACCAAGAGCUCCCGCUCUAAUAAGCAGAACAUCUGACCUACAAGAUCCGGCAAACGCCGAUCAACGGACCGAGUUACCCUAGGGAUAACAGCGCAAUCCCCUCCUAGAGUUCAUAUCGACAAGGGGGUUUACGACCUCGAUGUUGGAUCAGGACAUCCUAAUGGUGCAGCCGCUAUUAAGGGUUCGUUUGUUCAACGAUUAAAGUCCU
Molecule: ribosomal RNA, 576 nt
Filed under: Hemitaurichthys zoster (brown-and-white butterflyfish)
Lineage: Eukaryota; Metazoa; Chordata; Actinopteri; Chaetodontiformes; Chaetodontidae
Description: partial 16S ribosomal RNA
Rfam family: Bacterial large subunit ribosomal RNA
Source: RNAcentral